CUCUGUGACUCCUACGGGAGGCAGCAGUGGGAAUAUGCACAAUGGGGAAACCCUGAUGCAGCCAUGCCGCGUGUGUGAAGAAGGCCUUCGGGUUGUAAAGCACUUUCAGUAGGGAGAAGGUAGUGUAGUUAACACCUGCAUUAUUUGACGUUACCUACAGAAGAAGCACCGGCUAACUCCGUGCCAGCAGCCGCGGUAAUACGGAGGGUGCGAGCGUUAAUCGGAAUUACUGGGCGUAAAGCGCAUGCAGGCGGCCUGUUAAGUCAGAUGUGAAAGCCCGGGGCUUAACCUCGGAAUUGCAUUUGAAACUGGCAGGCUAGAGUCUUGUAGAGGGGGUAGAAUUUCAGGUGUAGCGGUGAAAUGCGUAGAGAUCUGAAGGAAUACCAGUGGCGAAGGCGGCCCCCUGGACAAAGACUGACGCUCAGAUGCGAAAGCGUGGGGAGCAAACAGGAUUAGAUACCCUGGUAG
This 468-nucleotide ribosomal RNA is filed under the name uncultured bacterium. RNAcentral describes it as "bacterial SSU rRNA". It matches the Rfam family "Bacterial small subunit ribosomal RNA", at positions 328 to 793 of the family's 1533-position model. The record is from RNAcentral.